RNAcentral lists this ribosomal RNA (539 nucleotides) under uncultured bacterium. RNAcentral's name for it is "bacterial SSU rRNA". It matches the Rfam family "Bacterial small subunit ribosomal RNA", at positions 355 to 896 of the family's 1533-position model. The record is from RNAcentral.
UGAGGAAUAUUGGACAAUGGGCGCAAGCCUGAUCCAGCCAUGCCGCGUGCAGGAUGACGGUCCUAUGGAUUGUAAACUGCUUUUGCACAGGAAGAAACAACGCUACGUGUAGCGUCUUGACGGUACUGUGAGAAUAAGGAUCGGCUAACUCCGUGCCAGCAGCCGCGGUAAUACGGAGGAUCCAAGCGUUAUCCGGAAUCAUUGGGUUUAAAGGGUCCGUAGGCGGUCUUAUAAGUCAGUGGUGAAAUCUCCCCGCUCAACGGGGAAACGGCCACUGAUACUGUAAGACUUGAAUUAUUAGGAAGUAACUAGAAUAUGUAGUGUAGCGGUGAAACGCUUAGAGAUUACAUGGAAUACCAAUUGCGAAGGCAGGUUACUACUAAUGGAUUGACGCUGAUGGACGAAAGCGUGGGUAGCGAACAGGAUUAGAUACCAUGGUAGUCCACGCCGUAAACGAUGGAUACUAGCUGUUGGGAGCAAUCUCAGUGGCUAAGCGAAAGUGAUAAGUAUCCCACCUGGGGAGUACGUUCGCAAGAAUG